UACGUAGGGUGCGAGCGUUGUCCGGAAUUAUUGGGCGUAAAGAGCUCGUAGGCGGUCUGUCGCGUCGGUCGUGAAAACUUGGGGCUUAACCCUGAGCUUGCGGUCGAUACGGGCAUGACUGGAGUUCGGCAGGGGAGACUGGAAUUCCUGGUGUAGCGGUGAAAUGCGUAGAGAUCAUGAGGAAGACCAGUGGCGAAGGCGGCUCACUGGCCCGAUACUGACGCUGAGGCACGAAAGCGUGGGGAGCAAACAGG
RNAcentral lists this ribosomal RNA (254 nucleotides) under uncultured bacterium. RNAcentral's name for it is "partial 16S ribosomal RNA". It matches the Rfam family "Bacterial small subunit ribosomal RNA", at positions 524 to 776 of the family's 1533-position model. The record is from RNAcentral.